This 447-nucleotide small RNA is filed under the name Histoplasma ohiense. RNAcentral describes it as "hypothetical lncRNA". The record is from RNAcentral. Lineage: Eukaryota; Fungi; Ascomycota; Eurotiomycetes; Onygenales; Ajellomycetaceae.
GGAGGGAACUUGAGGGCGGGAAAAAGUGCAACAAGCUUAAUUGUACAGUGCUCCGUUCUUGGGAAGAGAAUAACGACGGAGAAAUGCUCAGCCCACUCACGAGCCUUGUUCGUAAAUAAAUCUAUGAACUUCGCAUCAUUUGCUGUAGAAAAAUUCCCAGAGCAAAAGUGUAGGAGACAUUUGUUUGUGAAAUGAAUGAAUGAAUGAAUAAAAUAAUAUAUUUAUACGAUCUUUAUUUGGGCGCGCUGAUGCAAAUGAGCGGAUAGUAAAGAAAGGCAGAAAGGAGCGGUGUCGUAUACAUUCCGUCGCAACGGGGAUGUUUUAUCGAAGGAAACCUUGGGAAAGCCUCGGGAAAAGUUCCACAGCCUAUGACGCACGGAUACAUGGAUUCUAUCCUUCUGGAAUAUUGCUGAUGAGACGGGUGAUGGUUGAUGGAGAAUGUGGAGG